UACGGAGGAUGCAAGCGUUAUCCGGAAUUAUUGGGCGUAAAGCGUCCGCAGGUGGCUUUUCAAGUCUGCUGUCAAAGACCAGAGCUCAACUCUGGGCAGGCGGUGGAAACUGGGAAGCUAGAGUACGGUAGGGGUAGAGGGAAUUUCCAGUGUAGCGGUGAAAUGCGUAGAGAUUGGAAAGAACACCAGUGGCGAAGGCGCUCUACUGGACCGAAACUGACACUCAGGGACGAAAGCUAGGGGAGCGAAAGGG
This 253-nucleotide ribosomal RNA is filed under the name uncultured bacterium. RNAcentral describes it as "partial 16S ribosomal RNA". It matches the Rfam family "Bacterial small subunit ribosomal RNA", at positions 524 to 776 of the family's 1533-position model. The record is from RNAcentral.